This is a transfer RNA of Loxodonta africana (African savanna elephant), 71 nucleotides long. It matches the Rfam family "tRNA". From Rfam's summary of the family: Transfer RNA (tRNA) molecules are approximately 80 nucleotides in length. Their secondary structure includes four short double-helical elements and three loops (D, anti-codon, and T loops). Lineage: Eukaryota; Metazoa; Chordata; Mammalia; Proboscidea; Elephantidae. The record is from Rfam.
GCAGAAAUAGCUUAGUUGAGAGAGCCUUAGCCUGAAGAUCUAAAGGUCCCUGGCAAUCCCGGCUUUCAGCA